GCGUCUGUAGCCUAGUUGGUAAAGGCAGCACUCUGGUAUGUGUCUCAGCUAUGAUGAGGUCAUGGGUUUGACUCCCAUCAGACACA
This 86-nucleotide transfer RNA is filed under the name Uromyces viciae-fabae. RNAcentral's name for it is "tRNA-Und (NNN) (tRNA-Und-NNN-3-1)". It matches the Rfam family "tRNA". Rfam says of the family: Transfer RNA (tRNA) molecules are approximately 80 nucleotides in length. Their secondary structure includes four short double-helical elements and three loops (D, anti-codon, and T loops). Further hydrogen bonds mediate the characteristic L-shaped molecular structure. tRNAs have two regions of fundamental functional importance: the anti-codon, which is responsible for specific mRNA codon recognition, and the 3' end, to which the tRNAs corresponding amino acid is attached (by aminoacyl-tRNA synthetases). tRNAs cope with the degeneracy of the genetic code in two manners: having more than one tRNA (with a specific anti-codon) for a particular amino acid; and 'wobble' base-pairing, i.e. permitting non-standard base-pairing at the 3rd anti-codon position. The record is from RNAcentral. Lineage: Eukaryota; Fungi; Basidiomycota; Pucciniomycetes; Pucciniales; Pucciniaceae.